Non-coding RNA from Pelobates cultripes (western spadefoot toad), 302 nucleotides. The record is from the annotation of a GenBank genome assembly. NCBI's taxonomy places the organism in Eukaryota, Metazoa, Chordata, Amphibia, Anura, Pelobatidae.
CAGCAGUCUAUCAAUAAUUAACAUUUUUGUUCCCGUGAGUAGUUGUGUAGGAAGAGCCCCAGUGCACGGAUUUGCCCGGGGACCCAUAACGUUGUUAAGAAGGUACUGCUUGUGUGUGUCAGUGAGCUUCUAUUUAGUGAGCAUGUGUGUGUCAAUGAGCUUGUCUUUAGUGAGCUUGUGUGUCCCACUGAACUUCUUUGUAGUGAGCCUUGUGUUUAUACAAGUGAGUUUGUGAGUCAGAGAGUUAUGUCUGUCAGUGAGCCUAUUUGCGCAUGUCAGUGAGCUUGUGUGCUUACUGUACA